Molecule: ribosomal RNA, 240 nt
Filed under: uncultured Lactobacillus sp.
Lineage: Bacteria; Bacillati; Bacillota; Bacilli; Lactobacillales; Lactobacillaceae
Description: partial 16S ribosomal RNA
Rfam family: Bacterial small subunit ribosomal RNA
Source: RNAcentral
UAACCUGCCCAAGAGAUCGGGAUAACACCUGGAAACAGAUGCUAAUACCGGAUAACAACAGAUGAUGCCUAUCAACUGUUUAAAAGAUGGUUCUGCUAUCACUCUUGGAUGGACCUGCGGUGCAUUAGCUAGUUGGUAGGGUAACGGCCUACCAAGGCGAUGAUGCAUAGCCGAGUUGAGAGACUGAUCGGCAACAUUGGGACUGAGACACGGCCCAAACUCCUACGGGAGGCAGCAGCC